RNAcentral lists this long non-coding RNA (517 nucleotides) under Chinchilla lanigera (long-tailed chinchilla). RNAcentral describes it as "lncRNA (ENSCLAG00000026387.1)". Lineage: Eukaryota; Metazoa; Chordata; Mammalia; Rodentia; Chinchillidae. The record is from RNAcentral.
GACAGUUUGGCCUAAGUAUGAGUGUGGGCAUUUGACAAGAAAGGAGGCUGUGAAGGGAAGACUAAGUCUGUACCUACUUUGACCUCUGCCUUCUCCACACACCCCAUGUUGAUGACAUCUAUUGAGAAACUACCAUGGGCCAGACACAGUGACUUAUGGUGCAAAGAGGAUCCACAAUUUGCCCCGGAUGUCACAGUGGGAAACAGCUUCCUGCCUCAGGACUCAGAGGGAUAUCAGUGAACAAAGCCCACAAAGAGAGCCAGACAUGGGGUUCUCUCCCUAAAGCCUGGUGGUAUGGAAUGCUGGAAAAUGCCCCACCCCACCCCCUCAGCUACUCUCAAAUUUCCUGCCUGUGUUAAAGUAAGUUCUCUUGAAUCAAUUAAGUGUGGUACAGUGAAGGCAUCUCUUCCUCAAUCCUCUUUUCUUUCAUUUUUCUUUUUCUUUUUUGUCUUUUUGAGACACGGUUUCACAAUGCAGUUUAGGCUGGCCUAGAACUCACUUUGUAGCCCAGGUUGGC